RNAcentral lists this ribosomal RNA (562 nucleotides) under uncultured Mesorhizobium sp. RNAcentral describes it as "bacterial SSU rRNA". It matches the Rfam family "Bacterial small subunit ribosomal RNA", at positions 974 to 1532 of the family's 1533-position model. The record is from RNAcentral. Lineage: Bacteria; Pseudomonadati; Pseudomonadota; Alphaproteobacteria; Hyphomicrobiales; Phyllobacteriaceae.
CCAGCCCUUGACAUCCCGAUCGCGGUUUCCAGAGAUGGAUUCCUUCAGUUAGGCUGGAUCGGAGACAGGUGCUGCAUGGCUGUCGUCAGCUCCGUGUCGUGAGAUGUUGGGUUAAGUCCCGCAACGAGCGCAACCCUCGCCCUUAGUUGCCAUCAUUCAGUUGGGCACUCUAAGGGGACUGCCGGUGAUAAGCCGAGAGGAAGGUGGGGAUGACGUCAAGUCCUCAUGGCCCUUACGGGCUGGGCUACACACGUGCUACAAUGGUGGUGACAGUGGGCAGCGAGACCGCGAGGUCGAGCUAAUCUCCAAAAGCCAUCUCAGUUCGGAUUGUACUCUGCAACUCGAGUACAUGAAGUUGGAAUCGCUAGUAAUCGCGGAUCAGCAUGCCGCGGUGAACACGUUCCCGGGCCUUGUACACACCGCCCGUCACACCAUGGGAGUUGGUUUUACCCGAAGGCGCUGUGCUAACCGCAAGGAGGCAGGCGACCACGGUAGGGUCAGCGACUGGGGUGAAGUCGUAACAAGGUAGCCGUAGGGGAACCUGCGGCUGGAUCACCUCCUU